Molecule: ribosomal RNA, 253 nt
Filed under: uncultured bacterium
Lineage: Bacteria
Description: partial 16S ribosomal RNA
Rfam family: Bacterial small subunit ribosomal RNA
Source: RNAcentral
UACGUAGGGGCCUAGCGUUGUCCGGAUUUAUUGGGCGUAAAGAGCGUGUAGGCGGUCCGGUAAGUCAGCUGUGAAAGUCAAGGGCUCAACCCUUGAAAGCCGGUUGAUACUGUCGGGCUAGAGUCCGGAAGAGGCGAGUGGAAUUCCCGGUGUAGCGGUGAAAUGCGCAGAUAUCGGGAGGAACACCAAUGGCGAAGGCAGCUCGCUGGGACGGUACUGACGCUGAGACGCGAAAGCGUGGGGAGCAAACAGG